ACGUAGGGGGCAAGCGUUAUCCGGAUUUACUGGGUGUAAAGGGAGCGUAGACGGCGAGGCAAGUCUGAUGUGAAAGCCCGGGGCUCAACCCCGUGACUGCAUUGGAAACUGUUUUGCUUGAGUGCCGGAGAGGUAAGCGGAAUUCCUAGUGUAGCGGUGAAAUGCGUAGAUAUUAGGAGGAACACCAGUGGCGAAGGCGGCUUACUGGACGGCAACUGACGUUGAGGCUCGAAAGCGUGGGGAGCAAACAG
This 251-nucleotide ribosomal RNA is filed under the name uncultured bacterium. Its description in RNAcentral is "partial 16S ribosomal RNA". It matches the Rfam family "Bacterial small subunit ribosomal RNA", at positions 525 to 775 of the family's 1533-position model. The record is from RNAcentral.